Molecule: ribosomal RNA, 650 nt
Filed under: uncultured organism
Description: bacterial SSU rRNA
Rfam family: Bacterial small subunit ribosomal RNA
Source: RNAcentral
GGCUUAGAGUUUGAUCAUGGCUCAGGAUAAACGCUGGCGGCGCACAUAAGACAUGCAAGUCGAACGGACUUAACCAUUAGUUUACUAUUGGAGCGGUUAGUGGCGGACUGGUGAGUAACACGUAAGCAACCUGCCUAUCAGAGGGGAACAACAGUUAGAAAUGACUGCUAAUACCGCAUAUGCCUAAGUAUCGCAUGAUACAAUAGGGAAAGGAGAAAUCCGCUGAUAGAUGGGCUUGCGUCUGAUUAGAUAGUUGGUGUGGUAACGGCACACCAAGUCGACGAUCAGUAGCCGGACUGAGAGGUUGAACGGCCACAUUGGGACUGAGAUACGGCCCAGACUCCUACGGGAGGCAGCAGUCGGGAAUAUUGCGCAAUGGAGGAAACUCUGACGCAGUGACGCCGCGUGCAGGAAGAAGGUUUUCGGAUUGUAAACUGCUUUAGACAGGGAAGAUAAUGACAGUACCUGUAGAAUAAGCUCCGGCUAACUACGUGCCAGCAGCCGCGGUAAUACGUAGGGAGCAAGCGUUAUCCGGAUUUAUUGGGUGUAAAGGGUGCGUAGACGGGAGAACAAGUUGGUUGUGAAAUCCCUCGGCUUAACUGAGGAACUGCAACCAAAACUAUUUUUCUUGAGUGCUGGAGAGGAAAGUG